Molecule: long non-coding RNA, 652 nt
Filed under: Sorghum bicolor (sorghum)
Lineage: Eukaryota; Viridiplantae; Streptophyta; Magnoliopsida; Poales; Poaceae
Description: long non-coding RNA (SBIC_LNC018744)
Source: RNAcentral
ACAAGCACAGAUAAAUAAUCACAUAAAUUCAAAUAAGCUCUAAAAAUCAUGAAAUUAAUAUGGAAGGUAGAUCAUGAUUUUAGAUGAAUUUAGGAAAAAGAAUUAUUGAAAUCAGAGUUAGCAUGUCGUAUUUGUGAAAUGGCCAGAAUUUAAUCAUGCGAAAAAGGCUAACGGUGAUUAAGAAAUACAUGCUUCACAAGAUGAAUUUUGGCUGGUAGUGCAUGUUGCAUGCAUGCAUGUACUAUUUGGAGUUAAUGCUUAUGGCCCACACAUGCAUGGUUAGAGAGAAAUUAGCAGGGGUCAUUAGAGCUCUUCUGUAUGUCAUGGUUCUAUUCGUAGAGUUCUUGGCAAUGAAUCGGUACAGACAAAUACAAAAAAAAAAUACAGAAAAAUACUACAGAAAGACAGAGAAGAGCAAGGAGAUGCUCAUGAGCUGCUCACCUCGUCUUGCGACGACACUCGAGCUCAGUUUGUGCGUAUGGCUGUAUACGGUAUACGCGAAGUGAGAGUAAGUGAGCGAGUGAGUGAACGUGUUUCUCGGGUGGUGAGAGUGAGCACCCGAGGCUGGCUUUUUAUAGCCAGAGGAGUGAGGUUAUGUCUCUGGUGCUCAGCUUCGUGCCAUUCGAAUUGCUACUGUAGUGCAUGGCUACAC